UUCUUCAUAGGAAUGCUUAAUUCUUUGGUCCAUGUCUUCAUGUACGUGUAUUAUGGACUGGCCAGGCCGUGGCUUCCUAUGUGGCCCUACCUCUGGUGGAAACGAUGUCUUAUCACCCUACAGCUGGGUCAGUUUGUGGCCACUGCUGCCUCCUCUUCCUACAGUCUCCUCAUCGAGUACCCCUUCCCUGAUGAGUUCAACAUGUCUGUGCUCCUGUAAGCCCUCAGCCUCCUCAUUCUGUUCCUCAGCUCCUACCACAAGGCAUGCCUGAGGGGCAAGCAAGAGAGGCUGAACUAGGAGUAGGACCCAGGGACUGAAGCCAGCACAGCGUCCCUACAGAGAAUUGGGCGGAAGGUAGCAUGGCUUCCAGCUUACUGGUGCUGAGCAGAUUUCUCUGGGUCUCCAUUGUAUCCUCUGAAGGAAGAAUGAGGAUUGCCUUCUGUCCAGACCUCAGGAUCAAAGAAAUAUAUCCAACUUCCUGUGGUCACUUCCUUUAGAGCGCUUCUCAUGUGGCUUUGUAGCUUUGUGUGCAUCUCCUUCCUCUAUUAGACCUAAGCCCCUCUCGGGAGGGACUCUCGUAUUCUCAAUGUUCCCCAUACCUGGUACAGCAUCUCAAUAAAUGUGUGUUUGGAUCCUUGGA
Cebus imitator (Panamanian white-faced capuchin) is the source of this 640-nucleotide long non-coding RNA. RefSeq lists it as uncharacterized. Lineage: Eukaryota; Metazoa; Chordata; Mammalia; Primates; Cebidae. The record is from RefSeq and is a predicted model, not a curated record. The transcript is spliced from 2 exons.